UUUUGAGACAGUAUGGAGGGUGCUCCUCACAAAGCUGCGAAGACGGAGUUUACAGAAUGUUGGAGGACUUCAUGGAAAACGCCUUACAUUAUGCGUCUCGCCUUUUCUGCUGGUAUAGGAGGGCUGCUGUUUGGUUAUGAUACUGGUGUGAUAUCUGGUGCAUUGCUUUAUAUUCGCGAUGAUUUCAAAUCUGUUGGUAAGCGUACUUGGUUGCAAGAAACCAUAGUAAGCAUGGCUGUUGCAGGGGCAAUUUUCGGGGCAGCAUUUGGUGGAUGGUUCAAUGACAAAUAUGGUCGGAGAAAAUCGAUUCUUUUAGCAGAUAUCUUGUUCUUUAUUGGUGCCAUCGUCAUGGCAGUUGCCCCGGCACCUUGGGUGAUAAUUAUUGGAAGAGUACUCGUCGGUUUAGGAGUUGGAAUGGCUUCUAUGACUUCACCUCUUUAUAUAUCAGAAGCUUCCCCUGCUCGGAUUAGAGGAGCUUUAGUUAGCACGAAUGGUCUGCUUAUUACGGGAGGACAGUUUCUAUCUUAUCUUAUCAACUUAGCAUUUACAAGGACCAAAGGAACUUGGCGAUGGAUGCUUGGUGUAGCUAGUAUUCCUGCUCUUGUUCAGUUUAUCCUAAUGCUGUCUCUGCCCGAGUCACCCCGAUGGUUGUAUAGAGCGGACAAGAAAGACGAAGCUAGGGCUAUAUUAGAGAAGAUUUAUCCUGCUCAUGAAGUCGAAGACGAGAUGAAAGCAUUGCAGACUUCCAUUGAAGUAGAGAAGGCUGACAAAGAGUUCCUUGGGGAUGGUGUGUUUUCAAAAGUCAAGAGUGCUUGGAGCAACACUAUUGUUCGUCGGGGUCUCUAUGCUGGUAUUACAGUCCAGGUGGCACAACAAUUUGUCGGAAUCAACACGGUCAUGUACUACAGUCCUACUAUUGUGCAACUGGCUGGAUUUGCUUCUAACAAGACAGCUUUAGCUCUCUCGCUCAUAACGUCUGGUCUCAAUGCUGUUGGCUCCAUUAUCAGUAUGUGUUUUGUCGACAGGUACGGAAGAAGAAGGUUGAUGAUUGUCUCCAUGUUUGGUAUCAUAACAUGCCUAGUGGUAUUGUCCGUGCUCUUCAUGCAAGCUUCUAUACACUCCCCACGAAUCAGUGCUUUCGAAUCCAAUCACUUUGGAUCAAAUUCCACAUGCUCGGCGUUUCUAAAUGCUCCGGGAGCGUCGUCCUGGAACUGUAUG
Molecule: unclassified non-coding RNA, 1218 nt
Filed under: Hevea brasiliensis (rubber tree)
Lineage: Eukaryota; Viridiplantae; Streptophyta; Magnoliopsida; Malpighiales; Euphorbiaceae
Source: RNAcentral